GAUAAUAGGGAGAAAAGCAGCUUUGGAGUUCAUAAACAACCAAUAAAUCAGACAUGAUUAAUUUCCCUAUAACACAAUGCGGCAGAGAGAAAUUAAAAUUCAUGAAAAGACAAACUGCAGAAUUAUAUGUAAACACGGCACCAUAUAUAUUAAUUUUGCAGACCAAAGGCAAAUAAUACUUCAUUGGAAUCCCAAAAGAAUACUAGAGCACUGAUCUCUUUCUCUCACGAUAUAUACAACAACAGGCCGCCUACCCGGAGGGGUAGAGAGUUAGUUUUCGGGAGAUCCUCGGCUCAAAGAUAAAAGAUUCGUAGCAAUAAUAGAAAUCAGACAAAUAAUAUCAGUACCGUAGGAGACAACAAGUAAGUGAAUCUCUCUCGAUAUUUUUGAACUUUGCCUUCUUUUCCCUUCUUAUCACGGUGUAUACUUCAUCCGGUCUAUAAUAAGUGAUUUUUUGGUAUUUGGCAGAAAAUAUUAAUUCCUACAGAAAAAAGAUGUAUUCACUAAAUUACCCUUAAUUUGAAUUUGCAUAUUGUUACCUUUACACAUUAUAUGUAAAUAAGGGUAAAUUUUAGAAAAAUAUUAAUUCCUUCUUGAUUAUGUAAAAAGACACUUAUUUUGGACCAAAAUAAAAAGACCAAAAGAUCAUUUAUUGUGGACAAGAGGAAAUAUUAUUUUACAUUUACACAUGGAAUGCACAUAACAAAUUUAAAAAAAAUUAGCAAAAAUAAUUAAAACUUUAGAAUGACUUUGGGUAUUGAAAAAAUUGCGUACCAGGCAUGAAAUUAUUAAAAGGACUAGGGUAAGAAGGUAGUGGUUGUGUUAAAUUUGUUGUAAGUUGCUCUUGCUGGAAGCCAUUUGAGGAGCUUUCCCUAGCCAUAUUAGUGUAAUGAGUCUCAGUCUCAGGGCCUUGAUCAUAUAAUAUCCCUUUAAAUACAUGUCCUGCUAUUUUCACUGAUGUCUGAUAAGCAUAUUGAUCCACCACAUUGUCUACUGAACUUACUCGAACACAUCGAAAUACUGCUGGUAAACUCAAUUCUGUUGGUAGAUCUUCUUCUUUCCCACCUACAUUUGUAAUAUAUAUAGGGAAAAUAAGUAUACGGAUUGGAAGUAUUUUGUAUAGGUAAGAUUUGCGUAUACAUUACCCUCUCCAGAGCCCACUUGUGGGAUUUUACUGGAUUUGUUGCUGUUGUUGUUUGUUACUAAUAAUCUCAUUAUUUAUGUGGACGGUUCCUGUAUGUAGUCAUCUUUUAAGUGAUCUGAAAGCGCAUAGAAGUUACAAUCUUUUCGGGGUCUUUUGCUGAGUUGAGGGGUGCAAUAUGGUUCAUCCAUCUAUGUUCAGCAUAUACCAUUAGUUAAGUGAGAAAAAAAAACAAUAGCAGUAAAUAUUAAUAAUAAUAAUUAUGGUACUACUGAAUGUCAAAGUGAGCUAUACUAUUACUAUGACUAGGGUUUGAUGGUGUCUGCAAAUAGAUAAGUAAUAGACAUAAAAAGGGUAAGCAUAUUGGCAAAAAUGGUGGUGAGAUCUCAGAAGGUGAACUUUGGUGUAAUCGAUAAAGUCGCUGUACCAGGAGGUCACGGGUUCGAGUCGUGAAAAUAACCUCUUGCAGAAAUACAGGUAAAACUGCGUACAAUAGACCUUUGCGAUCCGGUCCGUCCCCAGACCCCGCGCAUAGCGGGAGCUUAGUGCACCAGUUGAGAUCUCUUAGUACAGUGCAAUCAAGAUUGUGUUUGAGGACAACAGUAGAUCAAUUAAGAUGAAGUACCUGCAGCAAGAUUAUUAUCAUUUUCUCUGUAUCUUUUAGGGUUUGCUUGAAGCUGCUUCUGCUGCUGCUGUUGUUGUUGAAUAGUAUGAAGAAGGUGGUGCCUUGGACGUCUUCUAGAGACAGGGAUCCAAGUGCUUUUGACAUGGGUUUGACACUGAAACCCUCGGCUUUUACAGCAAGUUCUGC
This 1952-nucleotide long non-coding RNA is filed under the name Nicotiana tabacum (common tobacco). RNAcentral's name for it is "long non-coding RNA (NTAB_LNC013316)". Lineage: Eukaryota; Viridiplantae; Streptophyta; Magnoliopsida; Solanales; Solanaceae. The record is from RNAcentral.